CUUCAAGAAUACACUCAAUUGGUGAUUGACAUACCUUAAGAGUACAGAAGUCAUGGGUCCAGGGAAGCUAAAGUAUGGUCACCAGCAUUUAAUUUUGAAAUAAACAAUACAAGGACCGCAGGGGAUAGUAUUGAGAGUAAAAUAGGGUCUUAUUUGUCAAAUGGAUUGCCGAGAAUUGAACCUCUUAAAACUUGUUCUGGUCCCAUAAGAAUUGGUUUAUCGAAAAGGAUCAAAACUAAACAUCUACAUC
Long non-coding RNA from Mobula hypostoma (lesser devil ray), 250 nucleotides. RefSeq lists it as uncharacterized. The record is from RefSeq and is a predicted model, not a curated record. The transcript is spliced from 3 exons. Lineage: Eukaryota; Metazoa; Chordata; Chondrichthyes; Myliobatiformes; Myliobatidae.